Molecule: non-coding RNA, 725 nt
Organism: Podarcis muralis (Common wall lizard)
Lineage: Eukaryota; Metazoa; Chordata; Lepidosauria; Squamata; Lacertidae
Source: RefSeq, a predicted model, not a curated record
AAGGAGCGGGGCGGGGCCGAGACUUCGAAGAGACGACGGAGCGGACGGUGUCCGGGUGUCCUGAGGGGGGAGAAGGGAGAGGAGCCGCCGCCCGAGGGCGACGGGUUCCCGACGGAGAGGGGCGGGAAGAAGCGGCACAGACCCCCACGGGUAGCAGGCAGUGGGCGACCUCCUUGCCCAGUAGUACGUCGUUGACGUCGUGUAUAGCCGAACUGGUUUACCCAUGAAUGUCUCACUCGAUGAUUGCAAGUUGAAGCAAUUAUUGGAUGGUCCAAACAAAAAGCUUCUCCACCGUUUCAGUGUAUGCUUUCAAGUACCUGUCAUCCAGUAUAGAGAAGUAAAAGAAGGGAAAAUGAAAGCAAUGAAGAGGAAGUACUACUCCCCCUAUUACUAGUCCCUACAAAAGGAUCUGAAUAAUCACAAGCCAAUUUAUCAAUAAUGCCACAGCAACAGGAAAGCAAUCAGAAGCAGAACCUACAAGGAGGAAGCUUCUAACUAAAGGCACAGCAUCCCUGAAAAAUAUCAACAGAACUUUGCCAGUUUAUAAUGCACUGCAAACAUGUUUUACAUAAGAGGCCCAAAUCAGGUCUGAAGAAACAGGAAGACAACAAUACUGAGUGCAAGCCGUUGGCAGCAGCACUGCCUGGCUUCUCUGUAAGCAGCGAGUGAACGAAGACUGUAACUCCAGACUUAAAAGCGUGGUGCUCAAAAAUCCAAACAUACCU